GGUAGUAGAGAGAGCUCUUUUAGUGAUGAAUUAUCAAGUACAGUUGAGAGAGGACGUAUGUAUGCCACACUUGGUCCAAACUGGCGAGUCCCAGUCUGUAACUCUCCCAGAAGUAGAAGUUAUAUUUAUAGCACCCCAGGGGCAGUUUCCAGCUAUGAAUGCAGUUCUCUGAGCAGUAUAACCAUUGAAG
This is a long non-coding RNA of Carassius gibelio (silver crucian carp), 190 nucleotides long. RefSeq lists it as uncharacterized. The transcript is spliced from 3 exons. Lineage: Eukaryota; Metazoa; Chordata; Actinopteri; Cypriniformes; Cyprinidae. The record is from RefSeq and is a predicted model, not a curated record.